RNAcentral lists this ribosomal RNA (313 nucleotides) under uncultured bacterium. RNAcentral describes it as "bacterial SSU rRNA". It matches the Rfam family "Bacterial small subunit ribosomal RNA", at positions 344 to 656 of the family's 1533-position model. The record is from RNAcentral.
GGAGGCAGCAGUGAGGAAUAUUGGUCAAUGGGCGAGAGCCUGAACCAGCCAAGUAGCGUGAAGGAUGACUGCCUAUGGGUUGUAAACUUCUUUUAUAAAGGAAUAAGUCGGGUAUGCAUACCCGUUUGCAUGUACUUUAUGAAUAAGGAUCGGCUAACUCCGUGCCAGCAGCCGCGGUAAUACGGAGGAUCCGAGCGUUAUCCGGAUUUAUUGGGUUUAAAGGGAGCGUAGAUGGAUGUUUAAGUCAGUUGUGAAAGUUUGCGGCUCAACCGUAAAAUUGCAGUUGAUACUGGAUAUCUUGAGUGCAGUUGAG